UACAAAUAUCUUCUUAUUAGUGAAAAUAAAAAGAAGGUUAAUUAUGGAUUCUCAGCUCACUAGUUGCCCCUGCUAUUGGGGCUGGAGAAAAUGUUCUUUGUUGGUCUUCUGGAGGAAAAGUGUAGAGAAAUGUUAUAAUAUGAGGUAUUAUUGCUAAAUAAUGAGAUAUGCUCUAUGAAGGUUGAUCAAUGUGAUGUGUUAACAGUGUCUGGUCCAUUCAGGUGGAAAUUAUAUUAAAUGGUUAAUUGGCCCUGUUAAAGCUCUGUUACAUUAUUGUGAUGAAGCUUUUGAUGAAUUGUAUUAUUUUUAUGUCUGGCCACCUGACUUCAGAAAGUUUCACUCACAUUUCACUGAAUUUUACUUCUACAGGAGCUGUUGCUGUUCUUUUACUUUUAGCUGUUGCUCUUCUUUGUGUGUACGAACUUUGUGCUGUGUAUGUUACAGCUGGUUCAAAGGCAUCUCAGUGGUAUUCGCCUUCUGGUUUCUUCUUUGGCGUAUCAGCAAUUGCCUUAGCAAUUAACAUGCUCUUUAUAUGUAGAAUGGUGUUUAAUGGAAACGACUUAGAUGUGGAUGAGUAUGUAAGGAAGGCAUACAAAUUUGUCUAUUCCAAUUGUAUAGAAGUGGGUCCUAUGGCUUGUUUACCAGAACCACCAGACCCUAAUGAGCUUUAUACUUGACAAUCUAGCAGGCAAGUCAUAGUAUAACCUUUACUUUACUUACUUGUCCUAUGAUUAUUUGUACAACAAUUUUUAUUUUCUUUUUUGCUGUUGCAUGCAGGUUCUGAUCUGUAGAUUGAUUGAUAGGCCUUUGCGUCCAACAAUGCUGAAAGGCUUCUACCAUGAAACUCAGAUACUUUCUUGGGUUCUGAGUUAUGAUGGUUUGCACUCUCUAGAUGCUUUGGCAAUUAUAGCUGCAGAAAUAGCAGUGUGAUUUUUUUUUCUACUUUUUUUUUUUGAAAUAUGAAAAUAUCAUGUACUGCCACUUCAAUAUCACAUUUAGAAUUUGAUAGACUAGCAUAUUUUUUUAGCCUGAUUAUAUAAAUUCCACAGUGCUUUAUCGGAAAUGCCAAAUGCAAAGACUAUUGCUGGAGUUCGAAUUGGCCUUGUUGGAGAUAAGACUAUUGCAGGUUGUUAACUUCAUUUGAGUAUGUAGCUGUAUGCUGGCAUGCUUUUAUUUAUUUACUUUUAGAUGCUUUGGCUAUGUGAUCUCACACUAUGCAUGAAUAUGGAAAUGUAGAACAAUCUGUAUUUUUUGUUUUGUUUUUGGAAUGCACAAAUUGGUUUGAUUGUAGUUAGUAAAAGAAGUAAUUUGGUUAUGGUUGAAAUGCAAAAUUGUAUAUUAUGAAUAAAAAUUGGUACUAAAGU
Molecule: long non-coding RNA, 1364 nt
Organism: Humulus lupulus (European hop)
Lineage: Eukaryota; Viridiplantae; Streptophyta; Magnoliopsida; Rosales; Cannabaceae
Exons: 3
Source: RefSeq, a predicted model, not a curated record